AUGUCUGAAAUACAAGAAGAGAAUCCUGCUUUAUCUGAAGAUUGGUUCAUCAGGUGCUAUAUUAACGGAUUGAGAGAGGGUAUUAAGUACCAAAUGAGGCCAUUAAGACCUGCAACUCUGACUGAUGCUUUUUGUUUAGCUAGAGAUGUAGAACCUUGUCACCCUCCAGUGGUUCAUCAGAGGAAGUCCAGUGCGUCAUACAAUAAUUACUAUCAAAAGCAAUAUACACCUUCAGCAGCAAAAACUUCCAACACUUCUACAAUGGUGCAGAACACUAACAGUAACAAGCAUACUAAAAACAUCAACACCAACAUUCAGAGGAUAAGGAAAGUGAGAGAAUGUUGGAGAUGUGGAGAUAAGUGGGUUCAUGGACACAAAUGCACUUUAGUUCCUAAUGUUCACAUGUUGCAACAGGAGGUGGAGGAGAAUGGUCCAACUGAUGUUGAAACUGAACCAGAAAAUCAAGAAGAAAUGGCAGAGCAAUCUGAACAAGCAAUGUUCAUUUCCUCUCAUGUAAUGGGCCAACACUUAACUACACAAUGCCAUAUAAUGAUUAUAUCUCUUAAUGGAAAAAGAGCAGUAGCCCUACUGGAUUCUGGUAGUUCCUCCCCUUUAUAA
This 618-nucleotide ribosomal RNA is filed under the name Triticum aestivum (bread wheat). RNAcentral's name for it is "partial small subunit ribosomal RNA". Lineage: Eukaryota; Viridiplantae; Streptophyta; Magnoliopsida; Poales; Poaceae. The record is from RNAcentral.